GGACUACUGGGGUUUCUAAUCCCGUUUGCUACCCUAGCUUUCGUCUCUCAGUGUCAGUUAUGGCCCAGUAGGACGCCUUCGCUAAUGGUGUUCUUCCUAAUAUCUACGCAUUUCACCGCUACACUAGAAAUUCCUCCUACCCCUAACAUACUCGAGUCUGCCAGUUUCUGCCGCACCUCUGAAGUUGAGCUUCAGUUUUUAACAACAGACUUAACAAACCACCUACAGACGCUUUACGCCCAGUGAUUCCGGAUAACGCUUGCAUCUCCCGUAUUACCGCGGCUGCUG
This 288-nucleotide unclassified non-coding RNA is filed under the name uncultured fungus. RNAcentral's name for it is "sequence contains ITS1". Lineage: Eukaryota; Fungi. The record is from RNAcentral.